This 443-nucleotide ribosomal RNA is filed under the name uncultured bacterium. Its description in RNAcentral is "partial 16S ribosomal RNA". It matches the Rfam family "Bacterial small subunit ribosomal RNA", at positions 354 to 796 of the family's 1533-position model. The record is from RNAcentral.
GUGAGGAAUAUUGGACAAUGGGCGCAAGCCUGAUCCAGCCAUGCCGCGUGCAGGAAGACGCAUCUAUGGUGUGUAAACUGCUUUUGUACGGGAAGAAACACUCCCUCGUGAGGGAGCUUGACGGUACCGUAAGAAUAAGGAUCGGCUAACUCCGUGCCAGCAGCCGCGGUAAUACGGAGGAUCCAAGCGUUAUCCGGAAUCAUUGGGUUUAAAGGGUCCGUAGGCGGUUUAAUAAGUCAGUGGUGAAAGCCCAUCGCUCAACGAUGGAACGGCCAUUGAUACUGUUAGACUUGAAUUACAAGGAAGUAACUAGAAUAUGUAGUGUAGCGGUGAAAUGCUUAGAUAUUACAUGGAAUACCAAUUGCGAAGGCAGGUUACUACUUGUGGAUUGACGCUGAUGGACGAAAGCGUGGGGAGCGAACAGGAUUAGAUAUCCGUAGUCC